AUUGAACGCUGGCGGCAUGCCUUACACAUGCCAGUCGAACGGUACCAGGUCUUCGGAUGCUGACGAGUGGCGAACGGGUGAGUAAUACAUCGGAACGUGCCCGAUCGUGGGGGAUAACGAAGCGAAAGCUUUGCUAAUACCGCAUACGAUCUACGGAUGAAAGCGGGGGAUCUUCGGACCUCGCGCGGACGGAGCGGCCGAUGGCAGAUUAGGUAGUUGGUGGGAUAAAAGCUUACCAAGCCGACGAUCUGUAGCUGGUCUGAGAGGAUGAUCAGCCACACUGGGACUGAGACACGGCCCAGACUCCUACGGGAGGCAGCAGUGGGGAAUUUUGGACAAUGGGCGCAAGCCUGAUCCAGCCAUGCCGCGUGCAGGAUGAAGGCCUUCGGGUUGUAAACUGCUUUUGUACGGAACGAAAAGGUGCCUUCUAAUAAAGGGCGCUCAUGACGGUACCGUAAGAAUAAGCACCGGCUAACUACGUG
RNAcentral lists this ribosomal RNA (482 nucleotides) under uncultured bacterium. Its description in RNAcentral is "partial 16S ribosomal RNA". It matches the Rfam family "Bacterial small subunit ribosomal RNA", at positions 30 to 507 of the family's 1533-position model. The record is from RNAcentral.